RNAcentral lists this ribosomal RNA (563 nucleotides) under uncultured beta proteobacterium. Its description in RNAcentral is "bacterial SSU rRNA". It matches the Rfam family "Bacterial small subunit ribosomal RNA", at positions 97 to 655 of the family's 1533-position model. The record is from RNAcentral. Lineage: Bacteria; Pseudomonadati; Pseudomonadota; Betaproteobacteria.
GGCGAACGGGCGAGUAAUGCAUCGGAACAUGUCCAUGUCGUGGGGGAUAGCCCGCCGAAAGGCGGAUUAAUACCGCAUACGCCCGAGAGGGGAAAGUGGGGGACCGCAAGGCCUCACGCGAUUGGGUUGGCCGAUGUCCGAUUAGCUAGUUGGUGGGGUAAAGGCUUACCAAGGCGAUGAUCGGUAGCUGGUCUGAGAGGAUGAUCAGCCACACUGGGACUGAGACACGGCCCAGACUCCUACGGGAGGCAGCAGUGGGGAAUUUUGGACAAUGGGGGCAACCCUGAUCCAGCCAUUCCGCGUGAGUGAAGAAGGCCUUCGGGUUGUAAAGCUCUUUUGUCCGGAGCGAAACGGGCGGGGUGAAUAUCCCUGUCUACUGACGGUACCGGAAGAAUAAGCACCGGCUAACUACGUGCCAGCAGCCGCGGUAAUACGUAGGGUGCGAGCGUUAAUCGGAAUUACUGGGCGUAAAGCGUGCGCAGGCGGUUUUGUAAGCCAGAUGUGAAAUCCCCGGGCUUAACCUGGGAAUGGCAUUUGGGACUGCAAGGCUGGAGUGUGGCAGA